Molecule: long non-coding RNA, 196 nt
Organism: Ipomoea triloba (trilobed morning glory)
Lineage: Eukaryota; Viridiplantae; Streptophyta; Magnoliopsida; Solanales; Convolvulaceae
Exons: 3
Source: RefSeq, a predicted model, not a curated record
CUAUUAUUUUACUAACUUGAGAGCAUUUACGAUGGCAAAGUUUUCUUCAUCUUCUGUAUACGUGGUUGCCAUUAUUGUUCUUUUUUCAGGUUAUUACACUGGAGUAGAGUUUACUAAGUGUGCAGCAUAUGAUAUUGACCCUGUGACUCCCCACAAGAAACUUCAGCAAAUUAACUACUGUUUGUACAAGUCUCCA